This 400-nucleotide ribosomal RNA is filed under the name uncultured bacterium. RNAcentral's name for it is "bacterial SSU rRNA". It matches the Rfam family "Bacterial small subunit ribosomal RNA", at positions 355 to 752 of the family's 1533-position model. The record is from RNAcentral.
UUUCGAAUCGUUCACAAUGGGGGAAACCCUGAUGGCGCGACGCCGCGUGGGGGAUGAAGGUCUUCGGAUUGUAAACUCCUGUCAUGGGGGACUAAUGGUCGGGCUCAUACCCCGAUUUGAAUUAACCCCAAGAGGAAGCAGUGGCUAACUCUGUGCCAGCAGCCGCGGUAAUACAGAGACUGCAAGCGUUACUCGGAUUCACUGGGCGUAAAGGGAGCGCAGGCGGGCGGGUGUGUCAGAUGUGAAAUCCCGGGGCUCAACCCCGGGGCUGCAUCUGAAACUACCUGUCUAGAGAUUCGGAGGGGUAAGCGGAAUUCCUGGUGGAGCAGUGAAAUGCGUAGAUAUCAGGAGGAACACCAACGGCGAAGGCAGCUUACUGGACGAAAUCUGACGCUCAGGC